GGCGGAAGACCCGCGUGGCGCUGACCUUGAUGACCGCGGCGCGGAGGUUCUCGUCCUCCUCCACGGACCGGAUGUUUCCUCGCACCACUGUGGAGAAGACAAGACGAAAGUUGCCACCGUGAGACCAACUGUGCCCAGCCGUCCAGGUUGUGAUGAUACGCAAAAGUUGAACGGAGACGUCUGGACUCCUCUUGUUCAAGUUCCGGAUGCGGAUUCAUUUUUGUGGAAACCCUAAAAGUUGCGAUAAGUGCAACAGCGUUGGCGAUUGGUCAUCCUCUGAUCCAUGUGACCUCCCUUCCUGCUCCGCCUUCGCCUUCAUGCUGAGGACUAUUCUUCAUCUCCCCCCCACUCACCCCCCCCCCCCCCCCCCGCUCCUCCUCGCAAUCGAGUGUGGUCAGCGAAGGUCAUCCCGGGCUGUGCACAAUGUUUGAAUGGUCACUGACUGUGAGCAAAAUUGCACACCAAACGGGGCCUUUUGUUAAGAGAAACUGGGGGGGGGGGGGGGGGGGGUGAGGACGCUGGAAGGCGCCGCCAAAAUUGGGUGACUCCCUGGCUCCAUCGGUGACUAAACCCCCAAGCAACCAAGCCCCCACCUGUCCACCUUCAGGGGUAUCAGUUCACUCGUCCCUCCGGGGUGCGUUGGUGUUAGGCGACAUCAUUCUCAUGCAAGCAGGUGGAUUGGAAAUCGUUCAACAGGUGUGGAUGAAUAACACUAGAUGGGGGGGGCGGGGGGGG
This is a long non-coding RNA of Hippocampus zosterae (dwarf seahorse), 735 nucleotides long. RefSeq lists it as uncharacterized. The transcript has 6 exons. The record is from RefSeq and is a predicted model, not a curated record. NCBI's taxonomy places the organism in Eukaryota, Metazoa, Chordata, Actinopteri, Syngnathiformes, Syngnathidae.